GAUGAACGCUGGCGGCGUGCCUAAUACAUGCAAGUCGAGCGAACAGACGAGGAGCUUGCUCCUCUGACGUUAGCGGCGGACGGGUGAGUAACACGUGGAUAACCUACCUAUAAGACUGGGAUAACUUCGGGAAACCGGAGCUAAUACCGGAUAAUAUAUUGAACCGCAUGGUUCAAUAGUGAAAGACGGUUUUGCUGUCACUUAUAGAUGGAUCCGCGCCGCAUUAGCUAGUUGGUAAGGUAACGGCUUACCGAGGCGACGAUGCGUAGCCGACCUGAGAGGGUGAUCGGCCACACUGGAACUGAGACACGGUCCAGACUCCUACGGGAGGCAGCAGUAGGGAAUCUUCCGCAAUGGGCGAAAGCCUGACGGAGCAACGCCGCGUGAGUGAUGAAGGUCUUCGGAUCGUAAAACUCUGUUAUUAGGGAAGAACAAAUGUGUAAGUAACUAUGCACGUCUUGACGGUACCUAAUCAGAAAGCCACGGCUAACUACGUG
This 497-nucleotide ribosomal RNA is filed under the name uncultured bacterium. Its description in RNAcentral is "partial 16S ribosomal RNA". It matches the Rfam family "Bacterial small subunit ribosomal RNA", at positions 28 to 507 of the family's 1533-position model. The record is from RNAcentral.